RNAcentral lists this ribosomal RNA (2799 nucleotides) under Escherichia coli KTE220. RNAcentral's name for it is "bacterial LSU rRNA". It matches the Rfam family "Bacterial large subunit ribosomal RNA". The record is from RNAcentral. Lineage: Bacteria; Pseudomonadati; Pseudomonadota; Gammaproteobacteria; Enterobacterales; Enterobacteriaceae.
UUAAGCGACUAAGCGUACACGGUGGAUGCCCUGGCAGUCAGAGGCGAUGAAGGACGUGCUAAUCUGCGAUAAGCGUCGGUGAGGUGAUAUGAACCGUUAUAACCGGCGAUUUCCGAAUGGGGAAACCCAGUGUGUUUCGACACACUAUCAUUAACUGAAUCCAUAGGUUAAUGAGGCGAACCGGGGGAACUGAAACAUCUAAGUACCCCGAGGAAAAGAAAUCAACCGAGAUUCCCCCAGUAGCGGCGAGCGAACGGGGAGGAGCCCAGAGCCUGAAUCAGUGUGUGUGUUAGUGGAAGCGUCUGGAAAGGCGUGCGAUACAGGGUGACAGCCCCGUACACAAAAAUGCACAUAUUGUGAGCUCGAUGAGUAGGGCGGGACACGUGGUAUCCUGUCUGAAUAUGGGGGGACCAUCCUCCAAGGCUAAAUACUCCUGACUGACCGAUAGUGAACCAGUACCGUGAGGGAAAGGCGAAAAGAACCCCGGCGAGGGGAGUGAAAAAGAACCUGAAACCGUGUACGUACAAGCAGUGGGAGCCUCUUAAUGGGGUGACUGCGUACCUUUUGUAUAAUGGGUCAGCGACUUAUAUUCUGUAGCAAGGUUAACCGAAUAGGGGAGCCGAAGGGAAACCGAGUCUUAACUGGGCGUUAAGUUGCAGGGUAUAGACCCGAAACCCGGUGAUCUAGCCAUGGGCAGGUUGAAGGUUGGGUAACACUAACUGGAGGACCGAACCGACUAAUGUUGAAAAAUUAGCGGAUGACUUGUGGCUGGGGGGGAAAGGCCAAUCAAACCGGGAGAUAGCUGGUUCUCCCCGAAAGCUAUUUAGGUAGCGCCUCGUGAAUUCAUCUCCGGGGGUAGAGCACUGUUUCGGCAAGGGGGUCAUCCCGACUUACCAACCCGAUGCAAACUGCGAAUACCGGAGAAUGUUAUCACGGGAGACACACGGCGGGUGCUAACGUCCGUCGUGAAGAGGGAAACAACCCAGACCGCCAGCUAAGGUCCCAAAGUCAUGGUUAAGUGGGAAACGAUGUGGGAAGGCCCAGACAGCCAGGAUGUUGGCUUAGAAGCAGCCAUCAUUUAAAGAAAGCGUAAUAGCUCACUGGUCGAGUCGGCCUGCGCGGAAGAUGUAACGGGGCUAAACCAUGCACCGAAGCUGCGGCAGCGACACUAUGUGUUGUUGGGUAGGGGAGCGUUCUGUAAGCCUGUGAAGGUGGCCUGUGAGGGUUGCUGGAGGUAUCAGAAGUGCGAAUGCUGACAUAAGUAACGAUAAAGCGGGUGAAAAGCCCGCUCGCCGGAAGACCAAGGGUUCCUGUCCAACGUUAAUCGGGGCAGGGUGAGUCGACCCCUAAGGCGAGGCCGAAAGGCGUAGUCGAUGGGAAACAGGUUAAUAUUCCUGUACUUGGUGUUACUGCGAAGGGGGGACGGAGAAGGCUAUGUUGGCCGGGCGACGGUUGUCCCGGUUUAAGCGUGUAGGCUGGUUUUCCAGGCAAAUCCGGAAAACCAAGGCUGAGGCGUGAUGACGAGGCACUACGGUGCUGAAGCGACAAAUGCCCUGCUUCCAGGAAAAGCCUCUAAGCAUCAGGUAACAUCAAAUCGUACCCCAAACCGACACAGGUGGUCAGGUAGAGAAUACCAAGGCGCUUGAGAGAACUCGGGUGAAGGAACUAGGCAAAAUGGUGCCGUAACUUCGGGAGAAGGCACGCUGAUAUGUAGGUGAAGCGACUUGCUCGUGGAGCUGAAAUCAGUCGAAGAUACCAGCUGGCUGCAACUGUUUAUUAAAAACACAGCACUGUGCAAACACGAAAGUGGACGUAUACGGUGUGACGCCUGCCCGGUGCCGGAAGGUUAAUUGAUGGGGUUAGCGGCAACGCGAAGCUCUUGAUCGAAGCCCCGGUAAACGGCGGCCGUAACUAUAACGGUCCUAAGGUAGCGAAAUUCCUUGUCGGGUAAGUUCCGACCUGCACGAAUGGCGUAAUGAUGGCCAGGCUGUCUCCACCCGAGACUCAGUGAAAUUGAACUCGCUGUGAAGAUGCAGUGUACCCGCGGCAAGACGGAAAGACCCCGUGAACCUUUACUAUAGCUUGACACUGAACAUUGAGCCUUGAUGUGUAGGAUAGGUGGGAGGCUUUGAAGUGUGGACGCCAGUCUGCAUGGAGCCGACCUUGAAAUACCACCCUUUAAUGUUUGAUGUUCUAACGUUGGCCCGUAAUCCGGGUUGCGGACAGUGUCUGGUGGGUAGUUUGACUGGGGCGGUCUCCUCCUAAAGAGUAACGGAGGAGCACGAAGGUUGGCUAAUCCUGGUCGGACAUCAGGAGGUUAGUGCAAUGGCAUAAGCCAGCUUGACUGCGAGCGUGACGGCGCGAGCAGGUGCGAAAGCAGGUCAUAGUGAUCCGGUGGUUCUGAAUGGAAGGGCCAUCGCUCAACGGAUAAAAGGUACUCCGGGGAUAACAGGCUGAUACCGCCCAAGAGUUCAUAUCGACGGCGGUGUUUGGCACCUCGAUGUCGGCUCAUCACAUCCUGGGGCUGAAGUAGGUCCCAAGGGUAUGGCUGUUCGCCAUUUAAAGUGGUACGCGAGCUGGGUUUAGAACGUCGUGAGACAGUUCGGUCCCUAUCUGCCGUGGGCGCUGGAGAACUGAGGGGGGCUGCUCCUAGUACGAGAGGACCGGAGUGGACGCAUCACUGGUGUUCGGGUUGUCAUGCCAAUGGCACUGCCCGGUAGCUAAAUGCGGAAGAGAUAAGUGCUGAAAGCAUCUAAGCACGAAACUUGCCCCGAGAUGAGUUCUCCCUGACUCCUUGAG